This 253-nucleotide ribosomal RNA is filed under the name uncultured bacterium. RNAcentral describes it as "partial 16S ribosomal RNA". It matches the Rfam family "Bacterial small subunit ribosomal RNA", at positions 524 to 776 of the family's 1533-position model. The record is from RNAcentral.
UACAGAGGUCCCAAGCGUUGUUCGGAUUCACUGGGCGUAAAGGGUGCGUAGGUGGUGAGGUAAGUCGGAUGUGAAAUCUCCGAGCUCAACUCGGAAACUGCAUUGGAAACUACCUUGCUCGAGGGUUGGAGGGGGGACUGGAAUGCUUGGUGUAGCAGUGAAAUGCGUAGAUAUCAAGCGGAACACAAGUGGCGAAGGCGAGUCCCUGGACAACUCCUGACACUGAGGCACGAAAGCUAGGGGAGCAAACAGG